Molecule: long non-coding RNA, 735 nt
Filed under: Heterocephalus glaber (naked mole-rat)
Lineage: Eukaryota; Metazoa; Chordata; Mammalia; Rodentia; Bathyergidae
Description: lncRNA (ENSHGLG00000047000.1)
Source: RNAcentral
UUAAUAACUGACUUGGAAAAAGACAUCUGAGUACCUAUCAUCUCUAUUAUACUCAGAAAUAUUUCUGUAAGUAGCAAUUAGGCCAUUGCAUCUAUAUCAUGUAAAACAUACUUUUGAGAAUUUUAAAAAUUUCUUUUUUCCUCUGUCUCCUAUCACUAUUUACUCCUCCUUAAAGGUGAUGACUCAGUGGUCCCCCAAUCUCCCGUCUCAUAGCAAUUAUUAUGUAGAUUCAUCUGUGACCCAGGACAUUAUGUUCAGUGUAAUAAGCCAGACAUAGAAAGCCCAAGACAACUUCUCUUCAUUAAAUGCGGUCCAGGCAAGCUAGGGAUCUUCAGUCCAUGGAACACAUAUUGGACAUACCUGGUAGACAAUAUGACCCGGUCAGAGAACAAUGGAUUUGACAUUAAUGUAGGGUUUCCAACUUCCAUGAGGACUGUCAUCCUUUCUUUUGGCCUGUUUCUCUCUUGGAAAUAAAAUGUUAAUGCCACUACUAUGUAUUAGAAGUCGUAACUUACUUGGAUUUCUCAGUUAUAAGUGUGUGCUGAUCUGCAAUUGUCUGCAAUAAGGCCAGAUGAGGACAGCCAUGCACAGUCCUCUUCAUGAGAUGAUGAUUCCUUCACUCUGUAAUGGUUUCUCAGAGUUUGGACUUAGAAGGAGAUUACCUGGUUACUACUGAAGAAAGCAGUGAGAUGGAAGCCACAGAUGUGGUUUUCUGGACACCACACCUUUGUGAGC